CGAACGCUGGCGGCGUGCCUAAUACAUGCAAGUCGAGCGCGGGAAGCGGACAAUCACCCGUUCGGGGUGUGCGUCCGUGGAACGAGCGGCGGAUGGGUGAGUAUCACGUGGGCAACCUGCCUGUAAGAUUGGGAUAACUCGCGGAAACGUGAGCUAAUACCGAAUGAAGUCUUUCACCGCCUGGUGAAAGGAUGAAAGAUGGCUCUUGAGCUAUCACUUACAGAUGGGCCCGCGGCGCAUUAGCUAGUUGGUGGGGUAAAGGCCUACCAAGGCGACGAUGCGUAGCCGACCUGAGAGGGUGAUCGGCCACACUGGGACUGAGACACGGCCCAGACUCCUACGGGAGGCAGCAGUAGGGAAUCUUCCGCAAUGGACGAAAGUCUGACGGAGCAACGCCGCGUGAGUGAUGAAGGUCUUCGGAUCGUAAAACUCUGUUGUCAGGGAAGAACAAGUUGUGUUCUAACAGGACAUGACCUUGACGGUACCUGACCAGAAAGCCCCGGCUAACUACGUGCCAGCCGCAGC
RNAcentral lists this ribosomal RNA (525 nucleotides) under uncultured bacterium. RNAcentral's name for it is "bacterial SSU rRNA". It matches the Rfam family "Bacterial small subunit ribosomal RNA", at positions 30 to 518 of the family's 1533-position model. The record is from RNAcentral.